Molecule: ribosomal RNA, 468 nt
Filed under: uncultured bacterium
Lineage: Bacteria
Description: partial 16S ribosomal RNA
Rfam family: Bacterial small subunit ribosomal RNA
Source: RNAcentral
GACGAACGCUGGCGGCGUGCUUAACACAUGCAGGUCGAACGGAAAGGCCCUGCUUUUGUGGGGUGCUCGAGUGGCGAACGGGUGAGUAACACGUGAGUAACCUGCCCUUGACUUUGGGAUAACUUCAGGAAACUGGGGCUAAUACCGGAUAGGAGCUCCUGCUGCAUGGUGGGGGUUGGAAAGUUUCGGCGGUUGGGGAUGGACUCGCGGCUUAUCAGCUUGUUGGUGGGGUAGUGGCUUACCAAGGCUUUGACGGGUAGCCGGCCUGAGAGGGUGACCGGCCACAUUGGGACUGAGAUACGGCCCAGACUCCUACGGGAGGCAGCAGUGGGGAAUAUUGCACAAUGGGCGGAAGCCUGAUGCAGCAACGCCGCGUGCGGGAUGACGGCCUUCGAGUUGUAAACCGCUUUCGCCUGUGACGAAGCGUGAGUGACGGUAAUGGGUAAAGAAGCACCGGCUAACUACGUG